AGAAUUCCGUUUGCUGGCGUCGCGUGCGGUGCGCGUCUUUUUUUCGUCUGAUUGGAAUUUGUGCGACGGUAACGAAAAUACGUCUGAAAAAAACGACGCUGGCGAUAUCAAAUUAUCAACAAAAAAAUACAACAAAAUCAUUAUACAGAGAGAAAAUCUGAAGAAGAAGCAAAGUGUCGUGAAAAUUGUGAAAACUAAACAAACCAAAUCGAAAGCGAAAAAAGUCCAAGAAAAACUCGCUUCGAAGUUUUAAAAGCGAAGAGGAAAAAGUAAAAAAAAAAAAGCCACACGCCACUCCAUGAAAAUCAAUAAUUUGGAUUAGUAGCUGUUGUUUAGAGUUCGGGAAAGGAUUCAAAACAAACCUGCCGAAGCCAAAACAAACACAUCAACAGUACAGCUUUAAUAACAAUAAUGAAUUGAAUAAGUUAAGGAACUAAAACAAUUUACAUGAGUACAAACUAAAGGAAUACAAAGGAAAACUUCAUGUAUUACAUAAGAGUUACGUGUAAAGUCCACAAUUAAAGCUGAACAGAACACAAAGUUUAAUUUAAUAAUUAACA
Drosophila innubila is the source of this 560-nucleotide long non-coding RNA. RefSeq lists it as uncharacterized. NCBI's taxonomy places the organism in Eukaryota, Metazoa, Arthropoda, Insecta, Diptera, Drosophilidae. The transcript has 3 exons. The record is from RefSeq and is a predicted model, not a curated record.